Molecule: ribosomal RNA, 253 nt
Filed under: uncultured bacterium
Lineage: Bacteria
Description: partial 16S ribosomal RNA
Rfam family: Bacterial small subunit ribosomal RNA
Source: RNAcentral
UACGUAGGCAGCAAGCGUUGUUCGGAGUUACUGGGCGUAAAGGGUGUGUAGGCGGUUCUUUAAGUUUGGUGUGAAAUCUCCCGGCUCAACUGGGAGGGUGCGCCGAAUACUGAGGGACUAGAGUACGGGAGAGGAAAGUGGAAUUCCUGGUGUAGCGGUGGAAUGCGCAGAUAUCAGGAGGAACACCAAUGGCGAAGGCAGCUUGCUGGCAUGUUUCUGACGCUAAGGCACGAAAGCGUGGGGAGCGAACAGG